RNAcentral lists this long non-coding RNA (5626 nucleotides) under Vigna radiata. RNAcentral's name for it is "long non-coding RNA (VRAD_LNC013869)". The record is from RNAcentral. Lineage: Eukaryota; Viridiplantae; Streptophyta; Magnoliopsida; Fabales; Fabaceae.
CUGAUUGCCUUGCCAUAUCAUAUCUUGGCCGCCGCCUUCUGAUACGUGGGCCCAAGUCCAAUUUUUAGUUUAGCAUUUCUUUUAUACAUCUGUAAUAUGUGUACGGCAUGUGGGACUUUUAGUCCGGAUUAUUUUUUCUGUUAAAGAGCACUUCACUUCUUGAAAGUCAAGAUUGGGAUUCCUUCACCCACCUUCCACUCACAUUUACCGCUCCUUCAUUUUUUAUCAUCAGAUUUCUUACUCUUCCAUGAGCACCACUCACGAGCUGACACCUCCGCCACUUUGUCAGCCUUUCUCUAAGUCGUGCCAGCGUACUUCCACCUCGUUCCUGUGAGGCUGCCUAUCCAAAACAUUUCAUUCAAUCAGCUUCUUGAGAGUUCUUUCAUCCAUUUCUCUCACGAGAGCUCUCCUCUGCGGAACCACAACUUCACUUGAACCACCGGACUUCUCACCAUUAAACCACAUCAAAAUCUUCCUCUUUUACAGAUCCAAGACAUGGACAAUCUUUUCAACCAGGUUUGCCCUAAAUCCACCAACUGAUUUCAUUAAAUCCUCUUCGCCUAGGGUUUACUCCGAUUAAAAUCACUUCUCCACUGUUCAAAUCCGUUUCCGCCUGAAACGUUUUUGACCGAACAGACCUUCGAAUCCUAGGGUUUGCAUCUUCCACUGUUUCUUCUGUCCGGUUAUCUGCUCGAUCCGUGCCAAAUCGAUGAUUCCUUGCCGGAGUGGACCUUAUCACCUUCGCACCCACCCUUUACACCUUACGGCUGGACUUAAUCUGCGUAAAGCAAUUUUAACAAUUCUUAGCCUCUGUGGAUUUGACACCAGUACAAAUUAUUGAUCUCAUCCCAAUGUUUCUUUCUUCUUUUCUUUUACACUCCUUCCACCCUUCCAUCUUUCCGUUCUUCCAUCUUCAAAUUAGGUGAGAUUUAUUUGCUUCACCUUUUAAGAAUUAACUAAAGUAGUAAAAAAGCUUGCAAUUCAUUACGAGAUAGCUGUUAAAGUAAAUUUUAUACUAUAACCAAAACAUUCAAUUUAAUUAAUUUAGUUGUGCUAUUGUUCUUUCAUAAUAUAACCAUAGUCACUUUAUUGUUCUUUCAUAAUAUAACCCUUGCUUCUGGUUAUUAACUUCGAUGACUCAUUAUUCCAAGAUGCUAUGUUUUCUUAUGAAUUGCAGGAUAAAUGUUCUCCUUUCCCUAGAACGCAAACUUUUAAGUUAAUGUGAUGCAUCUUCCUCCUCUGCCAUGCCUCAGGACGUAAAAAAUAUUUAUUUGGUCAUCUUAUUGAUUUAAUUUACAUGGAUGUGAAGGUAAGUUAUACUGAAAGUACUUUUUUAUAAUUCUUUCUUCAUUAAAAAAAGAAGGUACUUUUUUUUAAUUCUUUCUUCCUUUUCCUUUACCUUUGACUUUUUUUUAACUUGCCAGAAAAGCUACAGCAGUUAAGUAUGUAAUGUAAUAGUCCAGUAAAUUAUUUUUCUUUUAAAAAUAAUGAUAUUAAUCAUCUUACUAGACAGUAUUUAUAUCAAGGAACCUCAAAUUCCUUACACUUUAUUAAAAAAUAUAUUUUCUAUAUUAAUUAUUUCUUUUAUUUUCUAGAUCCAUUUCUAGUUCUUAUAAAUCCAAUCAGUAUAAAAAAAUGAGUGUUUUCAAAUCUGAUUAUUGAAUCAGUAUAAGAAAUGCUAAAUGUUAAUCACUGAUAUUCAUGUAAUCUGAUAUAAAAAAUGUUAAAGGCUAUUGAAUCUGCCACAACGCGAGCUGCUUAUAAUUUUAGUAAAGAAAAAAAAUAGUAGAAUUUAUGCAUUGUAUGUUACUUUACUGGUUGAUAUUUCUUCGUCAAUUUUAUUAGUGGGAUAGUCUGGCGAUACAUCUUAUCCAAGUCAAUUACUGCCUUCAAGGUAUUUGAACUUAAUUAUCGGAAGAAUGUGACUUUUCCCGUGUAACUUGUAGCUUGGCAGCAAAGGCUUUUCAGACCUCUCUUCCCCUUUGUAAGGAGACAUUUUUUCCAGCUACUAUGGAGGAUCAUGUUGUUAAAAGGUUUAAUGUCCUGGAUCCAUUCCUCCAUGAGCAUUUCUGAUAGGGUUCUAAUAGAGAAACCUAAUCAAUGCUCAAACAAACACACAGGAAUGAUUCAAGAAUACUGUAUAACCCUCGCUGAUCUUAUUAUACAGUGAAAAGAAUACAAGAAUGAAGUGGAUUAUGGGAGCCUAACCUUCCCCAACAAGACUAAACAGACUGUUCUAAAUACACGAAUGAACAAAAAGUAUCUUCUAAUCUUCCACUCAACUAUUUAUACAAUGUAUUUACAGAUACAUUCCCGCCCCUUCCUAACUGUUAAAACAGUUAGGCCAACUAACUAACAACUGACUACUUAUUCACGUCUCUUCCUCCUCACAUACACUCUUAACAUCCAAUCAUUACCCUCCCCUCCAUUUUCAACCUUGUCCUCAAGGUUGAACUUUAGAAAUUGGUCCUUGAUCGUUGCCUUGUCUUCCCACGUAGCUCCUUCUAUACCCUGCUGUCGACGCCACUCUACCAGCACCUGUUGAAUCACCUCAUCUCCUUGUUGUAUUUGGCUGCUCUCCAACCUCUUUGUUGACCAACAAGUAGGUCCCUCUGCCUGCAACUCUUAUCUUUUUCAACUAUGUGAUCCCCCACCGCUUUCUUUAAUUGGGCUUCUAAAGUCUUUGACCAAUCUUUUGAUGAUGUCACUACAAUAGAGGCCACGACUAUUUGAAUACCACCAGUGGACGAAGUCCCUUUGUACACUGAUAGUAGCUACCUUGUUUGUUUUGCCGAGAUAUAUGCCAAUGAAUGAAAUGACAAGAAAUACAACGCCACCAAUAACUCCAGCUAAAACAACAAGAAGAUUGCUAUCUGAUGAGCCACUUGUAAAUGGUAGUGUAGAGUGCGGUGCAAACAGAGAAGGAGAAGGAGAAUCAUUUCGGUCAGUGAAAGCUGGCUCCUCACUCGGUGGUGGUGUUGCUGGGGCAGGUGGGGGAACUGUCUUAUUUUUGUCGAUGGGCCGUUUGAUGAAUCUUCUUACACAAGAUGGCACUUUUGUUGCCAGACCCAGUUGCCUUUCAUCUGGACGAUUAAUUCCCGCCUUCAGCAAGCCCUCAACCUGCCUCUCAAUUUCGCCCUUCAAAGGAUACUGGUACUGACAUGGGCGCCCAUUUAUAGGAUGAACUCCCUCUUUAGGUUGUAUUCGGUGCUUUUUAUUAUGUGGCAAAGGCAAUCCAUGCAAAUUUCGAAAUAAGGGAUAGUGUUCUUGCAGCACAACUUUUAAUUGCUUUUUCUGUGCCUCUGUCACGUCGUCACCCCACUCACCGCUGUCCCCUGGCUCCACUAUGCACAGAUUCCCAACCGCAGCCCAUGACUCAGCUUCCACCCACUUCAACAAGCUCCUAGAGUUCACCAGCUGUCUCGACAAGGUUGGGUUGUCUUUUAUACAGAUUUUUUUAUCCCCUACAUUAUAAGCCAUGGUCAUUUUCCCCCAAUUGGUACUUACUUCCCCUAGCUUUUCCAGCCAUGCAACGCCCAGAAUCACAUCCACUCCUCCUAACUCAAACACGUAAAAUUCCUCUUCCAUGUCGACCUCCUCCAAUCGCACCGUCACCCGGUCACAAUGCCCCUGGGUGAUUUUUUUAUACCCAUUGCCUAAGCUCACCGAGUACGACGGCUUAUUUGUCACCGGCAACCUUAGCUCCUCUGUCAGCCCUUUAUUGAUGUAAUUAUGACUGACACCGCUAUCUAUCAACACUACGACAUCUCUGUCACCAAUUCUGCCCUUCAACAUCAAGGUCUUCGUGGACGUCUGCCCCUCUGCCAAACAAACUGAGAGUUCCAUCAGCUUCUCCUCCAGGUUGACAGUUUCUGUACCAACAUCCUCCUCCUCAUCCUCUGCCAACAAAAGUACUCUCAAACUCUUCUCUGGGCACCGAUGUCCUGGUGCGAACGGAUCUCCGCAUCGGUAGCAACGCCCUUUUUCUUUCCUUUCGAGAAACUCUGGGUAUGGCAAAUUCCUUACCAUUCUCCCUCGAUUAUCGCCCCCGUUCACAUUGCUUUCCCUUGCAUUCACAUUCGUAGUGACGCUGUCCCUUCUUACUGACCCUACACUUUCCAUUCUCCCCGACAUGUUGACCGGAGGAUGGUUCUGAUCCGCACGUAACACACUGCCCACUGAUCGCAUGCCAAUUGGGUUUAUUCUGCACCUGUUCGCGAACCCACCCUGUGCUCUAACCAUCACAUCCUCCACGUCACAUGCAACCCUCAUCGCUUCCCUCAAUUCCGAUGGGUUUUGAAUUCUGACUUGCCCCUUCACGUCUUCUUUCAGCCCCGCAAGGAAAUACCCCAACACUUGCUCUUCGGGUAUAUUCUUAGUUUGACCCAUCAACAUUUCAAACUCCCGAACAAACUCUUCCACAUUGCCCUCUUGACGAAGCGUCGCCAACCUCUCGAAUAUUGUCCCCCUAAAACCUCCUCCAAAUCGAUUGAUCAUCGCAGCCUUCAACCCUUCCCACGAACGGUUUCUUGCUUUUUCUUUCCAGAAAGUAAACCAGUAAGCGACACUCCCUUCCAUGCUCACGUACGCUAUCUCUACUUUCUCCUCAUCACUCAUCACCUUCUGUAUAUGGAAAAACCGCUCCGCUCUGUUAAGCCAACUAAGUGGCUCAACCCCGUCAAAGGUGGGUAAUUCUACUCGCUUUCUCCACGACCUCUGUUCUCCUCUUCUUCCGCCUUUCCCUUGCCGCCCAUUUCUCCCACAACUGGUGGACGUUGUCAUUCACCGAACUGUCAUCUGAACUCCCGUCUGCUUGGUUGUUCGGGUUCCCAAGAAUCUUCAUAAUCUGCUGUAAGUCUCGUCGAACAGCCGCUGACUUAGCCUUCAUCCCUUCCAACGUAAUUUUGAUGGCCUCAAAUCGCGCCUCCGUCGCGUCCUCCAUUUCUCGUGUCUCGUCACUUCCCCAAAAGUGUAUCCGGCAGGUUGGACCAAAUUGAUAGGGUUCUAAUAGAGAAACCUAAUCAAUGCUCAAACAAACACACAGGAAUGAUUCAAGAAUACUGUAUAACCCUCGCUGAUCUUAUUAGACAGUGAAAAGAAUACAAGAAUGAAGUGGAUUAUGGGAGCCUAACCUCCCCCAACAAGACUAUACUGUCUGUUCUGAAUACACGAAUGAACAAAAAGUAUCUUCUAAUCUCCCACUCAACUAUUUAUACAAUGUAUUUACAUAUACAUUCCCGCCCCUUCCUAACUGUUAAAGCAGUUAGGCCAACUAACUAACAACUAACUACUUAUUCACGUCUCUUCCUCCUCACAUACACUCUUAACAUCCUAUCAAUUUCCAUUGCAAUUUCAGAUGAAAGGUGAUACUUGGUGAUAUAUUCAUGCCCUGUUACUACUUACAAAAUUGUGGUAAUGAUUUAGUGAACAUGAUCUGUCUUGUACCAAAACAUUGGUAGUAUAGCAAUUAAACAAUUCUUUUAAUCCUAAAACAAGUUUAUAGUUUAGUUUGUCUCCUUAAUUUGUGAAUUAUAUUGUCAAUAUUGAAAUGUGUUAGCAGAAGUUAGACCUUGAUGUUGUUUGGUUUGUUCAUUUUCUUUCCAGUAUGUUUGGUGCAGUACCUGCA